GAUGAACGCUGGCGGCGUGCCUAAUACAUGCAAGUCGAGCGAAUGGAUUAAGAGCUUGCUCUUAUGAAGUUAGCGGCGGACGGGUGAGUAACACGUGGGUAACCUGCCCAUAAGACUGGGAUAACUCCGGGAAACCGGGGCUAAUACCGGAUAACAUUUUGAACCGCAUGGUUCGAAAUUGAAAGGCGGCUUCGGCUGUCACUUAUGGAUGGACCCGCGUCGCAUUAGCUAGUUGGUGAGGUAACGGCUCACCAAGGCAACGAUGCGUAGCCGACCUGGGGGGGUGAUAGGCCACACUGGGACUGAGACACGGCCCAGACUCCUACGGGAGGCAGCAGUAGGGAAUCUUCCGCAAUGGACGAAAGUCUGACGGAGCAACGCCGCGUGAGUGAUGAAGGCUUUCGGGUCGUAAAACUCUGUUGUUAGGGAAGAACAAGUGCUAGUCGAAUAAGCUGGCACCUUGACGGUACCUAACCAGAAAGCCACGGCUAACUACGUGCCAGCCGCCGCAGUAA
Molecule: ribosomal RNA, 515 nt
Filed under: uncultured bacterium
Lineage: Bacteria
Description: partial 16S ribosomal RNA
Rfam family: Bacterial small subunit ribosomal RNA
Source: RNAcentral